This 535-nucleotide ribosomal RNA is filed under the name uncultured bacterium. Its description in RNAcentral is "partial 16S ribosomal RNA". It matches the Rfam family "Bacterial small subunit ribosomal RNA", at positions 28 to 523 of the family's 1533-position model. The record is from RNAcentral.
GAUGAACGCUGGCGGCAUGCCUAAUACAUGCAAGUCGAACGAACAGAGCCGUAAGUUAUGAGUAGCAAUACGAGUAACGAAUGGAUUUUCUGUGAGUGGCGAACGGGUGAGUAACACGUGGGUAACCUGCCUAGAAGAAUGGGAUAACUAUUAGAAAUGAUAGCUAAUACCAAAUAGGAUAUGAGAUGACAUCAUCAAAUAUUUAAAGAUGCGUUAGCAUCGCUACUAGAUGGGCUUGCGUUGCAUUAGCUAGUUGGUAAGGUAAUGGCUUACCAAGGCGACGAAGCAUAGCCGGACUGAGAGGUUGACCGGCCACAUUGGGACUGAGACACGGCCCAAACACCUGCGGGUGGCAGCAGUAGGGAAUUUUUCGCAAUGGACGGAAGUCUGACGGAGCAAUGCCGCGUGAGUGAUGAAGGUUUUCGGAUCGUAAAGCUCUGUUGUAAGGGAAGAAUAGCUAGAUGAGGAAAUGAAUUUAGUCUGACGGUACCUUACGAGGAAGGGACGGCUAACUACGUGCCAGCAGCCGCAGUAA